Molecule: ribosomal RNA, 320 nt
Filed under: uncultured eukaryote
Lineage: Eukaryota
Description: partial 18S ribosomal RNA
Rfam family: Eukaryotic small subunit ribosomal RNA
Source: RNAcentral
CCCUUAGAUGUUCUGGGCUGCACGCGUGUUACAAUCGGGAGUACAACAAGAUUGCAAAUCCUAGUGGAUGAGUGGUUCUUCGAAAUUUUCUGAAGACUGGGAUAGUUGAUUGAAAUUAUUCAACUCAAACGAGGAAUUCCUUGUAAUUGUAAUUCAUUAUAUUGUAAUGAAUACGUCCCUGCCCUUUGUACACACCGCCCGUCGCCCCUACCGAUUGAACGAUCCGGUGAAUUAUUUGGAGUAGCUCUGGAAGUUGCAGAACUUCCUAUGUCACGAAAUUUUGUAAACCUUAUCGUUUAGAGGAAGGAAAAGUCGUAACA